AAGUCGUAACAAGGUUUUCGUAGGUGAACCUGCGGAAGGAUCAUUAGUGAAAUUUCUAAGGGAGUCCCUCUUAACCGGAGAAGGCCCUUAAAAUCCACUAUCUUUCACACACUCGUGCAAUUGUCCCAUUUUUUUACCCACACCCUUUUGCAUUUGAAAAAGUCUUUGUGAUAAACAAAUUGAUAAUUGAAAGAAAAACUUUCAGCAACGGAUCUCUUGGCUCUC
RNAcentral lists this unclassified non-coding RNA (225 nucleotides) under Kurtzmanomyces sp. RNAcentral describes it as "partial internal transcribed spacer region". The stretch from base 1 to 46 matches the Rfam family "Eukaryotic small subunit ribosomal RNA", at positions 1786 to 1831 of the family's 1831-position model. Lineage: Eukaryota; Fungi; Basidiomycota; Agaricostilbomycetes; Agaricostilbales; Chionosphaeraceae. The record is from RNAcentral.